Molecule: ribosomal RNA, 328 nt
Filed under: uncultured eukaryote
Lineage: Eukaryota
Description: partial 18S ribosomal RNA
Rfam family: Eukaryotic small subunit ribosomal RNA
Source: RNAcentral
CCCUUAGAUGUUCUGGGCCGCACGCGCGCUACACUGAUGCAUUCAACGAGUCUACAACCUGGUCUGAUAGGGCUGGGUAAUCUUUUGAAUGUGCAUCGUGAUUGGGAUAGAUGAUUGCAAUUCUUCAUCUUCAACGAGGAAUGCCUAGUAGGCGCAAGUCAUCAGCUUGCGUCGAUUACGUCCCUGCCCUUUGUACACACCGCCCGUCGCUCCUACCGAUUGGGUGUGCUGGUGAAAUGUUCGGAUCGGCCGUUUGUCGCGGUUUCCGCGUCAUGUGGCUGAGAAGUUCAUUAAACCCUCCCACCUAGAGGAAGGAGAAGUCGUAACA